Molecule: ribosomal RNA, 465 nt
Filed under: uncultured bacterium
Lineage: Bacteria
Description: partial 16S ribosomal RNA
Rfam family: Bacterial small subunit ribosomal RNA
Source: RNAcentral
CUACGGGCUGCAGCAGUGAGGAAUAUUGCGCAAUGGGGGAAACCCUGACGCAGCGACGCCGCGUGGAUGAUGAAGGCCUUCGGGUCGUAAAAUCCUGUCAGAAGGAAAGAAGUGUAUGGUAGCUAAUAUCUGCCAUACUUGACGGUACCUUCAAAGGAAGCACCGGCUAACUCCGUGCCAGCAGCCGCGGUAAUACGGAGGGUGCAAGCGUUGUUCGGAAUUACUGGGCGUAAAGCGCGCGUAGGCGGUUUUAUAAGUCAGAUGUGAAAGUCCACGGCUCAACCAUGGAAGUGCAUUUGAAACUGUAAGACUAGAGUAUUGGAGGGGGUAGUGGAAUUCCCGGUGUAGAGGUGAAAUUCGUAGAUAUCGGGAGGAAUACCGGUGGCGAAGGCGACUAUCUGGCCAAAUACUGACGCUGAGGUGCGAAAGCGUGGGGAGCAAACAGGAUUAGAUACCCCUGUAGUC